GGCGAAAGGGAUAGUAACACGUAGAUCACGUACCCUCGGGUCAGGGAUAGCGUCGGGAAACUGACGGUAAUACCAGAUAAUGUCUCCGGACCAAAGAUUUAUUGCCCGAGGAGCGGUCUGCGUCCUAUUAGCUAGUUGGUGGGGUAAAGGCCUACCAAGGCGAAGAUGGGUAGCGGGUGUGAGAGCAUGACCCGCAUCACUGGGACUGAGACACUGCCCAGACACCUACGGGUGGCUGCAGUCGAGAAUCUUCCGCAAUGGACGAAAGUCUGACGGAGCGACGCCGCGUGCGGGAUGAAGGCCUUCGGGUUGUAAACCGCUGUCGUAGGGGAGCAAAUUUUGAGCGAUCCUAGGAGGAAGCACCGGCUAAACUCGUGCCAGCAGCCGCGGUAAUACGAGUGGUGCAAACGUUAUUCGGAAUCACUGGGCUUAAAGGGUGCGUAGGCGGCGAUGAAGGUCUGAUGUGAAAUACCACGGCUCAACCGUGGAAUGGCAUUGGAAACCACAUUGCUGGAGUGAGACAGA
RNAcentral lists this ribosomal RNA (525 nucleotides) under uncultured Planctomycetota bacterium. Its description in RNAcentral is "bacterial SSU rRNA". It matches the Rfam family "Bacterial small subunit ribosomal RNA", at positions 97 to 655 of the family's 1533-position model. Lineage: Bacteria; Pseudomonadati; Planctomycetota. The record is from RNAcentral.